CGGACGGGUGAGUAAUGUCUGGGAAACUGCCCGAUGGAGGGGGGUAACUACUGGAAACGGUAGCUAAUACCGCAUAACGUCGCAAGACCAAAGAGGGGGACCUUUGGGCCUCUUGCCAUCGGAUGUGCCCAGAUGGGAUUAGCUAGUAGGUGGGGUAACGGCUCACCUAGGCGACGAUCCCUAGCUGGUCUGAGAGGAUGACCAGCCACACUGGAACUGAGACACGGUCCAG
This 232-nucleotide ribosomal RNA is filed under the name uncultured bacterium. Its description in RNAcentral is "partial 16S ribosomal RNA". It matches the Rfam family "Bacterial small subunit ribosomal RNA", at positions 99 to 334 of the family's 1533-position model. The record is from RNAcentral.